Non-coding RNA from Pelobates cultripes (western spadefoot toad), 239 nucleotides. The record is from the annotation of a GenBank genome assembly. NCBI's taxonomy places the organism in Eukaryota, Metazoa, Chordata, Amphibia, Anura, Pelobatidae.
CGAGGACCUUGGUAGGCACCAGCGGUGAUCGGCGGAAUAAGUGUCUGAAAAGAGUUCCAGGGCAUCGCCGCCAUUUUAAUGGUUAAUGAGCGCCACACGACCUCAAUAGGAGGUCGGGUGAUUCGGCAGUUUGUUCGUUUUAUUUGUAUUUGCAUGAAAUCACUACACACAUGCAUAAAUAACCGAAAAGGCCAUUUCUCCUAGUCUGUUUAACAUGGGAUUUCGUUACACAGCUCCCC